RNAcentral lists this ribosomal RNA (110 nucleotides) under Sticta gracilis. RNAcentral describes it as "5.8S rRNA". It matches the Rfam family "5.8S ribosomal RNA", at positions 48 to 154 of the family's 154-position model. Rfam says of the family: 5.8S ribosomal RNA (5.8S rRNA) is a component of the large subunit of the eukaryotic ribosome. It is transcribed by RNA polymerase I as part of the 45S precursor that also contains 18S and 28S rRNA. Lineage: Eukaryota; Fungi; Ascomycota; Lecanoromycetes; Peltigerales; Lobariaceae. The record is from RNAcentral.
NCGAAAUGCGAUAAGUAAUGUGAAUUGCAGAAUUCAGUGAAUCAUCGAAUCUUUGAACGCACAUUGCGCCCCUUGGUAUUCCGAGGGGCAUACCUGUUCGAGCGUCAUUG